RNAcentral lists this ribosomal RNA (156 nucleotides) under Orbilia bembicodes. RNAcentral's name for it is "5.8S ribosomal RNA". It matches the Rfam family "5.8S ribosomal RNA". Rfam says of the family: 5.8S ribosomal RNA (5.8S rRNA) is a component of the large subunit of the eukaryotic ribosome. It is transcribed by RNA polymerase I as part of the 45S precursor that also contains 18S and 28S rRNA. Lineage: Eukaryota; Fungi; Ascomycota; Orbiliomycetes; Orbiliales; Orbiliaceae. The record is from RNAcentral.
AACUUUCAACAACGGAUCUCUUGGUUCCCGCAUCGAUGAAGAACGCAGCGAAACGCGAUAGCUAAUGUGAAUUGCAGAAUUCAGUGAAUCAUCGAGUCUUUGAACGCACAUUGCGCCCAUCGGUAUUCCGAUGGGCAUGUCUGUUUGAGCGUCAUU